UCGUGAGAAACUUUUCUCGUUAUCACUCGGGGCAUUGUCCGGAGCCCCAGGUCAUCAAUAAAGAACAGUGUUGAGCCAGGUUACGCUUUGAGGGACCCUCUGAAGAAUCGGAGACAAAUAGGGUUGGCGGGAAACAAAAGUGAAGACCCGAUUAGGGUGAGCCCCGGUGAGUCGGCCGGGUGAGUGGGGAGAAUGUGGCGGGGUGACCUGGCACGUCGGCGCCGCCGGGACCACCAACGAUAGCAGACACCGUCCCCGCAACCUUGUGAAAAGGAAAGACUUCAAACAGCGUUAAUUGACAACCUGUACACGGGACUUCGACACUGCCUCACACAAAAGACGAUCACCAGGCACGCAGUCAUCCCAGCACGGACUUCCCAACCCAAAGCCAUGUGGACCAUCUGUCUACAGCCUGUACAGACAAGUUAACAACGUGCAGAGAGCGAUGGAUGGAUGGAGGGAUGGACAGAUGGAUGGAUGAAAGAAAUAAAAGACGGAGUGUUUUGUGAAAUGAAGGGAGGAUGGGUGGAUGAAUGGAUGGAUGGAUAUGUGGAGAAAUAAAGAUUUUGAAUGAGCACUUAAUGCACAGUCGACGCUGUA
This is a long non-coding RNA of Branchiostoma belcheri (Belcher's lancelet), 600 nucleotides long. RefSeq lists it as uncharacterized. NCBI's taxonomy places the organism in Eukaryota, Metazoa, Chordata, Leptocardii, Amphioxiformes, Branchiostomatidae. The transcript is spliced from 3 exons. The record is from RefSeq and is a predicted model, not a curated record.